UGUGACCUCAAAUCAGGUAGGACUACCCGCUGAACUUAAGCAUAUCAAUAAGCGGAGGAAAAGAAACUAACAAGGAUUCCCCUAGUAACUGCGAGUGAAGCGGGAAAAGCUCAAAUUUAAAAUCUGUCAGUCUUUGGCUGUCCGAGUUGUAAUCUAGAGAAGUGUUAUCCGCGCUGGACCGUGUACAAGUCUCCUGGAAUGGAGCGUCAUAGAGGGUGAGAAUCCCGUCUUUGACACGGACUGCCAGGGCUUUGUGAUGCGCUCUCAAAGAGUCGAGUUGUUUGGGAAUGCAGCUCAAAAUGGGUGGUAAAUUCCAUCUAAAGCUAAAUAUUGGCGAGAGACCGAUAGCGAACAAGUACCGUGAGGGAAAGAUGAAAAGAACUUUGGAAAGAGAGUUAAACAGUACGUGAAAUUGCUGAAAGGGAAACGCUUGAAGUCAGUCGCGUUAGCCAGGGAUCAACCCUUGCUUUUGCUUGGUGUACUUUCUGGUUGACGGGUCAGCAUCAAUUUUGACUGUUGGAAAAAGAUUAAGGGAAUGUGGCAUCUUUGGAUGUGUUAUAGCCCUUGGUUGCAUACAAUGGUUGGGAUUGAGGAACUCAGCACGCCGCAAGGCCGGGUUUUUAACCACGUACGUGCUUAGGAUGCUGGCAUAAUGGCUUCAAUCGACCCGUCUUGAAACACGGACCAAGGAGUCUAACAUGCCUGCGAGUGUUUGGGUGGAAAACCCGAGCGCGUAAUGAAAGUGAAAGUUGAGAUCCCUGUCGUGGGGAGCAUCGACGCCCGGACCAGACCUUUUGUGACGGUUCCGCGGUAGAGCAUGUAUGUUGGGACCCGAAAGAUGGUGAACUAUGCCUGAAUAGGGUGAAGCCAGAGGAAACUCUGGUGGAGGCUCGUAGCGAUUCUGACGUGCAAAUCGAUCGUCAAAUUUGGGUAUAGGGGCGAAAGACUAAU
This 951-nucleotide ribosomal RNA is filed under the name Cortinarius delibutus. RNAcentral describes it as "eukaryotic LSU rRNA". It matches the Rfam family "Eukaryotic large subunit ribosomal RNA", at positions 1 to 935 of the family's 3401-position model. Lineage: Eukaryota; Fungi; Basidiomycota; Agaricomycetes; Agaricales; Cortinariaceae. The record is from RNAcentral.